Molecule: ribosomal RNA, 253 nt
Filed under: uncultured bacterium
Lineage: Bacteria
Description: partial 16S ribosomal RNA
Rfam family: Bacterial small subunit ribosomal RNA
Source: RNAcentral
UACGGAGGGGGCUAGCGUUGUUCGGAAUUACUGGGCGUAAAGCGCACGUAGGCGGCGAUUUAAGUCAGAGGUGAAAGCCCGGGGCUCAACCCCGGAACUGCCUUCGAUACUGUACGGCUCGAGACCGGAAGAGGUGAGUGGAACUGCGAGUGUAGAGGUGAAAUUCGUAGAUAUUCGCAAGAACACCAGUGGCGAAGGUGGCUCACUGGUCCGGUUCUGACGCUGAGGCGCGAAAGCGUGGGGAGCAAACAGG